GUUGGUAAUGAAUGUUAAAUGCUUUUCAAGUUAAACAUAUUACUGCAAUUUCAAGGGAUAUUUUUUUCUUCUCAAUUUUGAUAGGUCAGUUGACAUAGCUGGAAGUUUCUUAUAUAUAAAAAAAAAAGAUGUGGUAUGAUUGCCAAUGAGACAACUAUCCACAAGAGACCAAAAUGACAAAAAUUUGGUAAUGGUCAAGAUCCCCACCCCUAAACCAUAUAUAUUCAUGUAUGGGACAAUAUAACAAAUCAUAUGAAAUAUAGGUGGAGUUCGUUGGGCCACUCUGACUACCCCUUUCUGUUUGAGAAUUUAUAACGGUCGAGAUCCACAAUCUUAAACAAUAUAUAUUUAUGUAUGGGACAAUAUUACAAAUCAAAUGAAUUAUAAGGGGUCCCUAUGGUCACUGUACACCCUCCUGUUUGAGAACUUGGAAAAAUUCGAGAUCAUCACCCC
RNAcentral lists this long non-coding RNA (453 nucleotides) under Mytilus galloprovincialis (Mediterranean mussel). Lineage: Eukaryota; Metazoa; Mollusca; Bivalvia; Mytilida; Mytilidae. The record is from RNAcentral.